GAAGGGACCUAGCGUAGUUCGGAAUUACUGGGCUUAAAGAGCACGUAGGUGGUUAAAAAAGUUGGUGGUGAAAUCCCAGAGCUUAACUCUGGAACUGCCAUCAAAACUUUUUAGCUAGAGUAUGAUAGAGGAAAGUGGAAUUUCUAGUGUAGAGGUGAAAUUCGUAGAUAUUAGAAAGAAUACCAAUUGCGAAGGCAGCUUUCUGGAUCAUUACUGACACUGAGGUGCGAAAGCAUGGGUAGCGAAGAGGAUUAGAUACCCUCGUAGUCCAUGCCGUAAACGAUGUGUGCUAGACGUUGGAAAUUUAUUUUCAGUGUCGCAGCAAAAGCAUUAAGCACACCGCCUGGGGAGUACGACCGCAAGGUUAAAACUCAAAUGAAUUGACGGGGACCCGCACAAGCAGUGGAGCAUGUGGUUUAAUUCGAAGAUACGCGCAGAACCUUACCAACACUUGACAUGUUCGUCGCGACUUUAAGAGAUUAAAGUCUUCGGUUCGGCCGGACGGAACACAGGUGCUGCAUGGCUGUCGUCAGCUCGUGUCGUGAGAUGUUGGGUUAAGUCCCGCAACGAGCGCAACCCUUACUUUUAGUUGCCAUCAUUUAGUUGGGCACUCUGAAAGAACUGCCAGUGAUAAGCUGGAGGAAGGUGGGGAUGACGUCAAGUCCUCAUGGCCCUUACGUGUUGGGCUACACACGUGCUACAAUGGCAUUUACAAUAGGAAGCAAGAUGGCGACAUUAAGCAAAUCCUAAAAAAAUGCCUCAGUUCGGAUUGUACUCUGCAACUCGAGUACAUGAAGCUGGAAUUGCUAGUAAUCGCGGAUCAGCGCGCCGCGGUGAAUACGUUCCCGGGUCUU
RNAcentral lists this ribosomal RNA (854 nucleotides) under uncultured Alphaproteobacteria bacterium. RNAcentral's name for it is "bacterial SSU rRNA". It matches the Rfam family "Bacterial small subunit ribosomal RNA", at positions 527 to 1382 of the family's 1533-position model. The record is from RNAcentral. Lineage: Bacteria; Pseudomonadati; Pseudomonadota; Alphaproteobacteria.